CUUUUCUCCCUCACAUCCCUUCUCUCGCGCUCUCUUGUUCACGAUUUUCUUGGAAAAUCCUAGCUCUGUUACUUUGACCUGAAAUCACUUCUCUAUGGACUCUUCUUCUACUCUUAGUGCCUUUUUCUUCUUUCGAGAGCUUCCAUUGUUGUUGUAUCUUCGUCACAAUGCAGGUUAAACGAACGCGCGUUACGAGGUCUUCAAGCUUGGGAGAGAUUAGUUUGUUCAGCCAGGUGAGGCCGAUUGAUGCUCCAACAGCUAUGUGGGAAAAUAACGCAGCUCCGGCAGCUGCCAUUAAAAGACCGAUACAAUGCAAUUCGAAAGUCUCCGACCAAGGCGUGUGCUUGUAUCCCGAAGGAAACCAGGUAAGGGCAGUGAGAAGUCUCAAGAGCGAUGUCUUGUGCCCAGUUUCAGCAGAUCUCACCAGGCGGUUUCAACUACAAGAGGAGAGAUGUGGGUUGAAUGAAUAUUGAUCGUUGGAUUUGAUGUAAGACAUGUAUCAUGUUUAGAGGAAUCGUUGGAUGCUCGUUGGAGACUCAGUCAUUGGAAACGAGUCCGAUCCCCAACUCAUUAAGUUAGGAUGAGGUUGAAUUUAUUGUUGUUAAUCGAGGAGCAUGGGUCUCCCCACUCCUCUUUCUACCCAUUAAGAAGUGACCACAUCAUGCAAGUUUGUUAGUAUAUACACACACGACCCCAUUCCUUACCUUUUUUUUUUUUUGUCUUUUUUAUUUCCUGUGUUUUUUCAGUAGAACAAGCAUAGGAUGAAUGCGAAAUAAAAGUGAUUGGUGGCAUGAAACAACAUCAAUUUAUGCAUUGC
Long non-coding RNA from Macadamia integrifolia, 817 nucleotides. RefSeq lists it as uncharacterized. NCBI's taxonomy places the organism in Eukaryota, Viridiplantae, Streptophyta, Magnoliopsida, Proteales, Proteaceae. The transcript is spliced from 2 exons. The record is from RefSeq and is a predicted model, not a curated record.